GUCUUGGUUAGAAUGCACUGGAACAGUAUAAAGAGAAGCUAAUUCAGACCAAGCAGCACACUUCUGCCGAAAGGACUUCAAUAUUCAGAACUUUGGACUAGGCAACAAGCUUUCUACUACAAGGAAAGGAUUUCAAAAUGUUGCUGUCGAAUUCUCUCUGAGCUGAUCUAUCUAGUUUAGAUUUCGUAGACUGACGCCUGCACCAACAAUGUCUUCAAAAGAGUAAAUUCAGCCAAGAGAUUCUUCGGCGGGGGUCCACAACACAAGUGCAACUGACUGACUAAUUUUCUUAUUAUCGGCUUAAAUGUGAG
Molecule: long non-coding RNA, 311 nt
Filed under: Fukomys damarensis (Damara mole-rat)
Lineage: Eukaryota; Metazoa; Chordata; Mammalia; Rodentia; Bathyergidae
Description: lncRNA (ENSFDAG00000026151.1)
Source: RNAcentral